This 570-nucleotide ribosomal RNA is filed under the name Boeremia hedericola. RNAcentral describes it as "eukaryotic LSU rRNA". It matches the Rfam family "Eukaryotic large subunit ribosomal RNA", at positions 38 to 623 of the family's 3401-position model. Lineage: Eukaryota; Fungi; Ascomycota; Dothideomycetes; Pleosporales; Didymellaceae. The record is from RNAcentral.
GCAUAUCAAUAAGCGGAGGAAAAGAAACCAACAGGGAUUGCCCUAGUAACGGCGAGUGAAGCGGCAACAGCUCAAAUUUGAAAUCUGGCGUCUUUGGCGUCCGAGUUGUAAUUUGCAGAGGGCGCUUUGGCAUUGGCAGCGGUCCAAGUUCCUUGGAACAGGACGUCACAGAGGGUGAGAAUCCCGUACGUGGUCGCUAGCCUCUACCGUGUAAAGCCCCUUCGACGAGUCGAGUUGUUUGGGAAUGCAGCUCUAAAUGGGAGGUAAAUUUCUUCUAAAGCUAAAUACUGGCCAGAGACCGAUAGCGCACAAGUAGAGUGAUCGAAAGAUGAAAAGCACUUUGGAAAGAGAGUUAAAAAGCACGUGAAAUUGUUGAAAGGGAAGCGCUUGCAGCCAGACUUGCCUGUAGUUGCUCAUCCGGGUUUUUACCCGGUGCACUCUUCUAUAGGCAGGCCAGCAUCAGUUUGGGCGGUUGGAUAAAGGUCUCUGUCACGUACCUCCUCUCGGGGAGAACUUAUAGGGGAGACGUAAUGCAACCAGCCUGGACUGAGGUCCGCGCAUCUGCUAGGA